Molecule: long non-coding RNA, 614 nt
Organism: Ipomoea triloba (trilobed morning glory)
Lineage: Eukaryota; Viridiplantae; Streptophyta; Magnoliopsida; Solanales; Convolvulaceae
Exons: 3
Source: RefSeq, a predicted model, not a curated record
AUUGAAUCUAGCAACACCCCAGUCAAUUUUUACCCACCUGAAAAAUGAGCCAUUACUGGAGAUCUGGCAGUGGACGGCCGAGAAGAAACUUAAGCUGGGACUCCAUGAAAGAGCGAAAGUAGGGAAGAAACAAACAGAAAGGUAUACACCUGAAGUGAGAAACGGUGGUUAGGGGCACAAAUGUAAUUCCGAACCAUUACAAGGCGGAUGGCGUGUGAAGCGGCUGAAGAACUGCUGAACACGUGAGUGGGCAAGGAUCUGCGUUUUCGACAUCUGGCAAUGACAACAUCUGAAUUGUCAAGUUUGGGUUUUUGUUGGAAUCGUGACUCCGUUACAAGGGCGUUAGUACGUUACGUUUCGAUCUUUGUUUUGUAGUGAUGGGUCUUGCAUGGCAUCCAACCCACUCCGGUGCCGUCAAUGACGUCCCCCCCAGGAUUAUGGUGGGGUUAUAAUAGUCCAUUUCUAUCCUUCGCUGGCACAGAAGAAAAGGUCACCGGGGCUUUCGGUUGUGCUAUAUGAAAAGGGAUGAUAGAUUGAUAGUUGGCGGGAUUCUUCCAUGGGUCGUCCAUUCAAAAAUUUGUUAAAUAACUGUCAUUCUAAAUAUAGUACAGGAG